CAGCCGUAAACUAUGCUCGCUAGGUGUCAGGCAUGGCGCGACCGUGUCUGGUGCCGCAGGGAAGCCGUGAAGCGAGCCACCUGGGAAGUACGGCCGCAAGGCUGAACUUAAGGAAUUGGCGGGGGGAGCACAACAACGGGUGGAGCCUGCGGUUUAAUUGGACUCAACGCCGGACAACUCACCGGGGGACGACAGCAAUAUGUAGGCCAGGCUGAAGACCUUGCCUGAAUCGCUGAGAGGAGGUGCAUGGCGUAGACGUCU
RNAcentral lists this ribosomal RNA (261 nucleotides) under uncultured archaeon. RNAcentral describes it as "partial 16S ribosomal RNA". It matches the Rfam family "Archaeal small subunit ribosomal RNA", at positions 748 to 1009 of the family's 1478-position model. The record is from RNAcentral.